Non-coding RNA from Triticum aestivum (bread wheat), 135 nucleotides. The record is from Rfam. Lineage: Eukaryota; Viridiplantae; Streptophyta; Magnoliopsida; Poales; Poaceae.
CAUGUACUCCCUCCGUCCCAAAAUUCUUGUCUUAGAGUUGUCUAGAUACGGAUGUAUCUAACACUAAAACGUAACUAGGUACAUCCGUAUUUAGACAAAUCUAAGACAAGAAUUUUUGGAUGGAGGGAGUAUCAC